UGGUGGAGUGAUUUGUCUGGUUAAUUCCGUUAACGAACGAGACCUCGAUCUGCUAAAUAGACACAUGGAUUCUUUGGAUCUACUGUGCGCUUCUUAGAGAGACUAUCGGUUAGUAGCCGAAGGAGGUUCGAGGCUAUAACA
This 141-nucleotide ribosomal RNA is filed under the name uncultured eukaryote. RNAcentral's name for it is "partial 18S ribosomal RNA". It matches the Rfam family "Eukaryotic small subunit ribosomal RNA", at positions 1299 to 1458 of the family's 1831-position model. The record is from RNAcentral.